GCGGGGCGGAGCAAUCCGGUAGUUCGUCGGGCUCAUAACCGGAAUGUCAUAGGUUCGAAUCCUAUCUCCGCA
Molecule: transfer RNA, 72 nt
Filed under: Burkholderia cepacia
Lineage: Bacteria; Pseudomonadati; Pseudomonadota; Betaproteobacteria; Burkholderiales; Burkholderiaceae
Description: tRNA-Met
Rfam family: tRNA
About the family: Transfer RNA (tRNA) molecules are approximately 80 nucleotides in length.
Source: RNAcentral